GGGGUCUGCAGCAGCAGGGCAUCGCGGGAGGGGAUGUCGCCGCCGAUGUGAUAAGGCAGGCCGCAGUUGGCAAAGCUGAUGAACUCGCCGCGCUCGAACAGGACAAUCUCGGCAUGCUCAUCCAUGCGACGGGCACGGGCCGCGGCCGAUGCGCCGCCGGCGACACCAC
Aeromonas diversa is the source of this 169-nucleotide non-coding RNA. The record is from Rfam. NCBI's taxonomy places the organism in Bacteria, Pseudomonadati, Pseudomonadota, Gammaproteobacteria, Aeromonadales, Aeromonadaceae.